AUGGGCGCAAGCCUGAUCCAGCCAUGCCGCGUGUGUGAAGAAGGCCUUAUGGUUGUAAAGCACUUUAAGCGAGGAGGAGGCUACUUUAGUUAAUACCUAGAGAUAGUGGACGUUACUCGCAGAAUAAGCACCGGCUAACUCUGUGCCAGCAGCCGCGGUAAUACAGAGGGUGCAAGCGUUAAUCGGAUUUACUGGGCGUAAAGCGCGCGUAGGCGGCUAAUUAAGUCAAAUGUGAAAUCCCCGAGCUUAACUUGGGAAUUGCAUUCGAUACUGGUUAGCUAGAGUGUGGGAGAGGAUGGUAGAAUUCCAGGUGUAGCGGUGAAAUGCGUAGAGAUCUGGAGGAAUACCGAUGGCGAAGGCAGCCAUCUGGCCUAACACUGACGCUGAGGUGCGAAAGCAUGGGGAGCAAACAGGAUUAGAUACCCUGGUAGUCCAUGCCGUAAACGAUGUCUACUAGCCGUUGGGGCCUUUGAGGCUUUAGUGGCGCAGCUAACGCGAUAAGUAGACCGCCUGGGGAGUACGGUCGCAAGACUAAAACUCAAAUGAAUUGACGGGGGCCCGCACAAGCGGUGGAGCAUGUGGUUUAAUUCGAUGCAACGCGAAGAACCUUACCUGGCCUUGACAUAGUAAGAACUUUCCAGAGAUGGAUUGGUGCCUUCGGGAACUUACAUACAGGUGCUGCAUGGCUGUCGUCAGCUCGUGUCGUGAGAUGUUGGGUUAAGUCCCGCAACGAGCGCAACCCUUUUCCUUAUUUGCCAGCGAGUAAUGUCGGGAACUUUAAGGAUACUGCCAGUGACAAACUGGAGGAAGGCGGGGACGACGUCAAGUCAUCAUGGCCCUUACGGCCAGGGCUACACACGUGCUACAAUGGUCGGUACAAAGGGUUGCUACCUAGCGAUAGGAUGCUAAUCUCAAAAAGCCGAUCGUAGUCCGGAUUGGAGUCUGCAACUCGACUCCAUGAAGUCGGAAUCGCUAGUAAUCGCGGAUCAGAAUGCCGCGGUGAAUACGUUCCCGGGCCUUGUACACACCGCCCGUCACACCAUGGGAG
This 1048-nucleotide ribosomal RNA is filed under the name Acinetobacter sp. OTB133. Its description in RNAcentral is "bacterial SSU rRNA". It matches the Rfam family "Bacterial small subunit ribosomal RNA", at positions 371 to 1410 of the family's 1533-position model. Lineage: Bacteria; Pseudomonadati; Pseudomonadota; Gammaproteobacteria; Moraxellales; Moraxellaceae. The record is from RNAcentral.